Molecule: ribosomal RNA, 449 nt
Filed under: uncultured bacterium
Lineage: Bacteria
Description: bacterial SSU rRNA
Rfam family: Bacterial small subunit ribosomal RNA
Source: RNAcentral
GUCCAGACUCCUACGGGAGGCAGCAGUGGGGAAUAUUGCACAAUGGGGGAAACCCUGAUGCAGCGACGCCGCGUGAGUGAAGAAGUAUUUCGGUAUGUAAAGCUCUAUCAGCAGGGAAGAAAGAAAUGACGGUACCUGACUAAGAAGCCCCGGCUAACUACGUGCCAGCAGCCGCGGUAAUACGUAGGGGGCAAGCGUUAUCCGGAUUUACUGGGUGUAAAGGGAGCGUAGACGGCCAUGCAAGCCAGGGGUGAAAGCCCGGGGCCCAACCCCGGGACUGCCCUUGGAACUGUGCGGCUGGAGUGCCGGAGGGGCAGGCGGAAUUCCUGGUGUAGCGGUGAAAUGCGUAGAUAUCAGGAGGAACACCGGUGGCGAAGGCGGCCUGCUGGACGGAUACUGACGCUGAGGCCCGAAAGCGUGGGGAGCGAACAGGAUUAGAUACCCGAGUA